Molecule: long non-coding RNA, 808 nt
Organism: Symsagittifera roscoffensis
Lineage: Eukaryota; Metazoa; Xenacoelomorpha; Acoela; Convolutidae
Exons: 3
Source: RefSeq, a predicted model, not a curated record
AAUUCGAUUAUUUUUGCAAAAUUUUGCAAAUUUUGCGAGAAGUUUGCAGAAUUUAUGCCCUGUCUUUUACUAAAUGCCAAGUCUCAACUUCGUCCCCUCGGCCCCUCAAGCUUUUUACCCCCACCCAGCACAUUUGUUGAAUUUUUGUUUAUACUUCCAAGUAUUGUGUAAAAGUUCGUAUCAGAUUUUAUUUUCAGUUUUGCAUACCGAAAUUGUCAAGUAAAAAGCUCGCUGCUUUUUCAAUAUUUUUACAGGAUCAUGUAAUGAUUCAAUGGCUGUUUUGUAGUUCAGACGCAUUCUAGUUGAAACCCAUAGUAGGUUUUCUAAUUUCAAUUUCAUCUUUCAUUUUUUGCAUUCUGUCAUUUGAUAAGUUACAUAUAUUUUUUGGUGAUGUCAAAAAAUAAGUCUCCCUAUUGUUACCAGAAGAAGACACUCUUGCAGAACACCCGUACUCUGUUCCGAACUCAUCAGCUGCGAAACAAGAACGCCUGAAAUUGGAUACAAGCGGACUGGAUGAUCCGCUCUCGGCAAACAAUAAUGACUCAGUGGGAUCCCAAGACAACAGUCACUUUUCACCUGUUGCCAACACUUUGCCCCACCACCAAGGCGUUCUGGAUUCCAAUUGUGCCCACAGACCCAGAUUCAACAGCGACCACAGUGACUUCAACAGUGACGUCAUCCUCGCUCAUCCAGAAGGGGUGGGGGAGGGAAACCAACGAUAUGCAAGCCCGUAUGAGUCACGUGGAUUUGUGGGAGGAUCGCACUACGGGACUAUGGUGUUGCACCCAACAGUUGGUGGGGGUGGGGG